AAUCAAUGCAUCAGACAUUUCCUAAUUAACUCCUUAAAUCGCUCCCACGCUUCAUAUAAUGUUUCAUCUUCAACUGAAAGGAUGUAAUAUCAUUUCUCAACUU
This is a non-coding RNA of Gossypium raimondii (Peruvian cotton), 103 nucleotides long. Lineage: Eukaryota; Viridiplantae; Streptophyta; Magnoliopsida; Malvales; Malvaceae. The record is from Rfam.